This 303-nucleotide ribosomal RNA is filed under the name uncultured bacterium. RNAcentral's name for it is "partial 16S ribosomal RNA". It matches the Rfam family "Bacterial small subunit ribosomal RNA", at positions 507 to 809 of the family's 1533-position model. The record is from RNAcentral.
AGCAGUAGCCGCGGUAAUACGAGGGGGGCUAGCGUUGUUCGGAAUUACUGGGCGUAAAGCGCACGUAGGCGGAUAUUUAAGUCAGGGGUGAAAUCCCGCAGCUCAACUGCGGAACUGCCUUUGAUACUGGGUAUCUUGAGUAUGGAAGAGGUUAGUGGAAUUGCGAGUGUAGAGGUGAAAUUCGUAGAUAUUCGCAGGAACACCAGUGGCGAAGGCGGCUAACUGGUCCAUAACUGACGCUGAGGUGCGAAAGCAUGGGGAGCAAACAGGAUUAGAUACCCCAGUAGUCCCUGUCUCUUAUAA